CGUUCUCUCUUCCCUCCCUUUCUUUCUGUACCUGUGAGCAUGAUUGCCGACGACUGGUGUCGCCGAACUUUGUCGGGGAAGAAGUUCCCUAUUCCGCCCCUCUUUUCUUUGAUUUUCCAGCAUCGGCGGUCACCACCGACCGCCGGCCUUGGUCCCUUCGAGCCUCGGAUGGAUCGUCCUCUUGCCACCGGCCACCAUCAUGCCGGCUACGGCCUUGAUCGGCUGGUCAAAAAAAGGGGGG
This 241-nucleotide long non-coding RNA is filed under the name Elaeis guineensis (African oil palm). RNAcentral's name for it is "long non-coding RNA (EGUI_LNC038360)". The record is from RNAcentral. Lineage: Eukaryota; Viridiplantae; Streptophyta; Magnoliopsida; Arecales; Arecaceae.